This is a non-coding RNA of Triticum aestivum (bread wheat), 108 nucleotides long. The record is from Rfam. Lineage: Eukaryota; Viridiplantae; Streptophyta; Magnoliopsida; Poales; Poaceae.
CGUUUGCUGUGAUGAAUCACAAGGGCGGUAUCAUAGUAAGUUGGUUGUUGUAGAAGGCUGAUUUCCCUGAUUAUAAAUCCUAAACUGAUCAUAAUCUCUGAGCAAACA